CAGUCGCCACGGUAAUACGUAGGGUGCAAGCGUUAAUCGGAAUUACUGGGCGUAAAGCGUGCGCAGGCGGUUUUGUAAGACAGAGGUGAAAUCCCCGGGCUCAACCUGGGAACUGCCUUUGUGACUGCAAGGCUAGAGUACGGCAGAGGGGGAUGGAAUUCCGCGUGUAGCAGUGAAAUGCGUAGAUAUGCGGAGGAACACCGAUGGCGAAGGCAAUCCCCUGGGCCUGUACUGACGCUCAUGCACGAAAGCGUGGGGAGCAAACAGGAUUAGAUACCCCCGUAGUCCCUGUCUCUUAUAU
This 301-nucleotide ribosomal RNA is filed under the name uncultured bacterium. Its description in RNAcentral is "partial 16S ribosomal RNA". It matches the Rfam family "Bacterial small subunit ribosomal RNA", at positions 509 to 809 of the family's 1533-position model. The record is from RNAcentral.